GCAGAGUAGGAUCCCGCGCGUCAAGUGCCGGCUGAACAGGGAGUUGUCAGCCGGACGAAAGAAAGUUCAUCAUCAGAUGUACUUUCUGCGGUGCCGGAUCCGCAUCCCGCUGC
RNAcentral lists this non-coding RNA (113 nucleotides) under human gut metagenome. RNAcentral describes it as "THF riboswitch". It matches the Rfam family "THF (Tetrahydrofolate) riboswitch aptamer". From Rfam's summary of the family: THF riboswitch presents a pseudoknot that joins P1-P2 and the loop of P3 and two THF binding. The record is from RNAcentral.